GACCAAGGAGUCUAACAUGUAUGCGAGUCAUUGGGAAAAACUAAACCCAAAGGCGGAAUGAAAGUGAAGAUCCUUUAUUAGGGAUAUGAGGAGAGAUCAUGGCUUUGAUUUAUAGUAUUCCGUAAGGUUUAUUGUACAAGGUAUGCGCAUCUCCUGGACGUCUUAACCUUUGAAGGAAGGGCGUACCUAGAGCAUACACGUUGGGACCCGAAAGAUGGUGAACUAUGCCUGGUCAGAACGAAGUCAGGGGAAACCCUGAUGGAGGUUCGUAGCGAUUCUGACGUGCAAAUCGAUCGUCGGAAC
Molecule: ribosomal RNA, 303 nt
Filed under: Xenylla grisea
Lineage: Eukaryota; Metazoa; Arthropoda; Collembola; Poduromorpha; Hypogastruridae
Description: eukaryotic LSU rRNA
Rfam family: Eukaryotic large subunit ribosomal RNA
Source: RNAcentral